CACAAUAUAAGGCCGAGUUCCGUAAUGGAAGCGGAGGAACCACUUUUGGGGUUAAUUUUGUCCUUGUGACAAAAGGGAUGUUUUCUCUUGUCAUCCUACCCGUCAGCUAACUUCGCAGGCCAAAGCAAGGGGUCGA
Molecule: small RNA, 136 nt
Filed under: Sporomusa sphaeroides
Lineage: Bacteria; Bacillati; Bacillota; Negativicutes; Selenomonadales; Sporomusaceae
Also listed under: 2 other names
Description: c-di-AMP sequence
Rfam family: c-di-AMP riboswitch aptamer (ydaO/yuaA leader)
About the family: This family represents a conserved RNA structure found upstream of the ydaO and yuaA genes in Bacillus subtilis and related genes in other bacteria. The ydaO/yuaA element is thought to act as a genetic "off" switch for the ydaO and yuaA genes in its native state. It is believed that the element may be triggered during osmotic shock leading to activation of ydaO, a predicted amino acid transporter gene, and members of the yuaA-yubG operon which code for KtrA and KtrB K+ transporters.
Source: RNAcentral